AUUGAACGCUAGCGGGAUGCCUUACACAUGCAAGUCGAACGGCAGCGCGGACUUCGGUCUGGCGGCGAGUGGCGAACGGGUGAGUAAUGUAUCGGAACGUGCCCAGUAGCGGGGGACAACCACUCGAAAGAGUGGCUAAUAUCGCAUACGCCCUACAGGGGAAAGGGGGGAUCGAAAGACCUCUCACUAUUGGAGCGGCCGAUAUCGGAUUAGCUAGUUGGUGGGUAAAGGCCUACCAAGGCGACGAUCCGUAGCUGGUUUGAGAGGACGACCAGCCACACUGGGACUGAGACACGGCCCAGACUCCUACGGGAGGCAGCAGUGGGGAAUUUUGGACAAUGGGGGAAACCCUGAUCCAGCCAUUCCGCGUGUGCGAUGAAGGCC
RNAcentral lists this ribosomal RNA (384 nucleotides) under uncultured bacterium. Its description in RNAcentral is "bacterial SSU rRNA". It matches the Rfam family "Bacterial small subunit ribosomal RNA", at positions 30 to 416 of the family's 1533-position model. The record is from RNAcentral.